This 301-nucleotide ribosomal RNA is filed under the name uncultured bacterium. RNAcentral describes it as "partial 16S ribosomal RNA". It matches the Rfam family "Bacterial small subunit ribosomal RNA", at positions 509 to 807 of the family's 1533-position model. The record is from RNAcentral.
CAGUAGCCACGGGAAUACGUAUGUCGCGAGCGUUAUCCGGAAUUAUUGGGCAUAAAGGGCAUCUAGGCGGCCGGAUAAGUCUGGGGUGAAAACUUGCGGCUCAACCGCAAGCCUGCCCUGGAAACUAUGCGGCUAGAGUACUGGAGAGGUGGACGGAACUGCACGAGUAGAGGUGAAAUUCGUAGAUAUGUGCAGGAAAGCCGAUGAUGAAGAUAGUUCACUGGACGGUAACUGACGCUGAAGUGCGAAAGCUAGGGGAGCAAACAGGAUUAGAUACCCCUGUAGUCCCUGUCUCUUAUAC